Gopherus evgoodei (Goodes thornscrub tortoise) is the source of this 979-nucleotide long non-coding RNA. RefSeq lists it as uncharacterized. The record is from RefSeq and is a predicted model, not a curated record. Lineage: Eukaryota; Metazoa; Chordata; Testudines; Testudinidae. The transcript has 4 exons.
GAAAGUGAUGGAGUCUCCAUCUCUUGAUGUCUUCAGACUAAGACAGGAUGCCUUUCUGGAAAACACGCUUUAGCUAAACACAAGUUAUGAUGUAGUCCAGUGGUUCUCAACCUAUUUACCAUCAUGGGCCGCGUAUGUGGUGCACAAUGUGUUAUGUGGGCUGCAUCUAAUACUAUCCCUAUGGCCCUGAGGAUGUCACAUUAGCCGCAGUUUGAGAACCACUGCUGUAGUCAAACACAAAUUGUUGGGCUCAAUGCAGGCGUGAUGGGGUGAAAUUUAACAGCCUCUGAUAUACAGGAAGUUAGACCAGGUGAUCUAAUAUUGCCUUCUAACUUUAGACUAUUAAAAAACUAUGCUAUAAUUGAAAAAAAAUGUGUUGCAUUAGUGUAUAGCACUAAUGCCUGUUCAUUCUUGUGAUAUUAACAUAGGGAUGAAUACAUCACAAUUUCACAUCCUAGGCCAAAUGAAUUGCUGAUCUCUGUGGAGUUAGCAAAGAGACGUUUAUCCUGAUCUCAUUGCUUAGUUCCAGUAGUGAAGAACACAGUAUUUGGAGGAUGGCAACAGAAACUGCAAAAGCACUAGUUUUCUUGGUUUGACCCACUCAAAAAACAAUUGUCUCCCACAGCCUCCAGCAUCCUGUAAGAGAUUCUUAUACUUCAAUAUGCUGGCUAUUACACCGUGGCAAUGAAUUUUGCUAUGGAUAAGUCUCUUUCUUCAUGAACCGAUUCACUGUUGCACAUGCCAGACACUAGCUCUUCCACAGAUGACAUGAGAGAAGCUUCUUCACCAACGGAAUCUGUCUUAUCUGAAUUUGAAAGAUUAAUUUAUUUGAGCACUUUCCAGAAGAUGAAAAGAGAAAGGUUCUAAGAACUCAACCCAGCAAAAUAUCUAGGCAUGUACCUGCUGAUAUUCUGAAGAAUCAAAUGAUGCAGCCUGAGCUAUCAGAGACCCCUCUGCUGCUGGCGUAUCAAGAACUAUA